Molecule: long non-coding RNA, 1562 nt
Organism: Anser brachyrhynchus (Pink-footed goose)
Lineage: Eukaryota; Metazoa; Chordata; Aves; Anseriformes; Anatidae
Source: Ensembl
UCUGUCACUCAGGAUUUUAUAGACUGAAGAAUUGAAAUACUGGAAGUUAUUUCUAAUCUCACUGUGGGGAAAGUUGUGCUACGGGUUCCACCCAGCUGAGGAAUUCCUGAAGAAGCCAGGUACGCUUAGAUACAGGACUCACAAUGUGCCUGUCCUUGAAGAUGGCAGCUUAUGCCACAAGUGGUCCUGGGCACUGCCUGUAGUUCAAAUCUUUCACUGUGUACCUGGAAGAUAGUGCUCAGCACCUCUCUUCAAUGGACUUUCCUUGUAGACACUUCAGGACUCAGACAGUUCUACUCCAGUUACUUGAAUCCAGCCUGUCCCCUACAGGAACAGACCUGCUUCAAUGGGAUGGAUGCACUGAAUGCAGCGAUGGAAAAUAUAAGACGACACUGGGACUUCGUGAGUGUGAUGUCUGCCUCACGGUGACUGCCUGUUCUCCACGGCCAGCAAGUGGCAAUCGCAUUUUAAAGGAAGGAUGUCAGAAUGUCAGAGAGCAGCUUGGUUUUCUCACUUGUCAUCAUUAUUUGUUUCUGUCCUGGCCGAACCACCAGCAGCAGGUUAGGGAUGACACAAACGAGCAACAAAUCACGGGGUGGAGGACAGAGCAUGUGACAAUGCCCUGGCUGUGGUGCAAACAUUUGAGCUACGUUUCGAAAGCCUGGGCUUGUGUUCCGCAGGGUUCACGAGUGAAAAAUACAAGUCUUUGAGGAUAACAAACAACAAGCUCUGUCUCAUUAGUGUCUACCCUUCAGAGAAGAGGCUGGAGCGGAUCCCAUCAAGCUGCGAUUUGGUUCAGUGCACCAGGGAAGGUUCCUAGAAGCAUUCCCCCAGCUUCUUCACACUGUGCACUGAGGGGAAAAAAACAACAUUUGGCAAUUUGUUGUCAAUAUUUGUAUAACUCCUGAUGCCACUAAAACUGCAUAUGCAGGCUUUAAACUAACAAAAACAAAGCCAUGGCCAAGCUGGAAAGCUGGAUUUGUUUCCAUGCACAAUUAGGUUUAUUUGUUUAGGUCUCAUUUUAUUUGCUUUCAGAUGACUCAGAUAGGAGUAUUGCAAUCCUUUCAAAGUGAAGUAGUGUUCUGUGUAUUUUGGGCAUUGGGCUUAGCCAAAUGUGGAAAGAAUUGGCUGCUCAAUAGUAUUUUCCUAUCCAGAGGUUUUUCAAACUUUUGAGAGGAACUGAAGGAAUGUCCCUUCCAUGCCAGGCUUUUUUUUCCCCCCCUUCACAGCGUCUCUCCACAUCAUUGUUAAAGAGCACAGGAAUUUUAAAACACUCCUCCGUUGUGCAACUGUUAGCAACUGCCCUUAUUAAUUGCUUUACCAUUGUGCUGCAUGCUUAAAUUCUCACUGGUGUCAUCCAUAACGUGCUGCUGUGAGCGCCUUUUAACCCGUUCCAAUACGAACAGACGCACGGUGCACGGCCCAGAAUCUCCCAGCCUGCUAGACCAGCUCUGGGCUUGCUGAAAAUGAUUUCCUGCAUACACGAAGGGAUAUUUACAUUUUGGCAAGUCGCCGAGUUUUCUGCUGGGAGUCAGUCACUCAGGGCAGAUUAUUUUCCAGUG